GUGAUCUUCCACAGCUUUCUUGAACUGUGUUGUGAGGCUUCUCUCCAAUGAAGGUUUAUACCCUAUGCAAAAGAAAUUCUAUGAGCACAAUUCAAGAUAGCUGUGGAAAAUCAC
This 114-nucleotide microRNA precursor is filed under the name Glycine max (soybean). Its description in RNAcentral is "miR396e stem-loop (gma-MIR396e)". Its record names the gene gma-MIR396e. Lineage: Eukaryota; Viridiplantae; Streptophyta; Magnoliopsida; Fabales; Fabaceae. The record is from miRBase by way of RNAcentral.